AGUAAUCUUGAGUUGGGGUGGUCAUUUCUUGCAACCUGUGAACCCGUAUCAAUACAUUAAUACUAAGUCAAGUCUACACAUUAGGGUUCACUCUUGUAUACUACAUUCUAUAGGCUUCUGGUAAGUAUAUAAUGGCAUGCAUUCACCAAUACGGUGACCUAAAGAAUAAUAGUUCUUCUGUGCAAUCCAUUUCUUCAUCCCUCCCUCAUACCCGCCCCCUUAUUCCUUGGCGACUUCUGAUCUUUUUACUGUCUCCAUAGUUUUAUCUUUCCCGGGAUAUCACAUAAUUGGAAUCAUAAAGUACCCUGCCUCUUCACAUUGGCUGCUGUCCCUUAGCAAUAUGCAUUUAAGGUUCCUCGAUGCCUUUUAAUGGCUUCGUGGCUCCUCAUUUAUUUAUUGUUUUAUUGCUUAAUAGUUCUUCUUUGUCCGGAUGGAUCACAGUUUGUUUAUCCAUUCACCUGCUGAAGGACAUCUUUGGUUGCUUCCAAGAUUUGGCGAUUACAAACAAAGCUUCUAACAGCAUCUGCGCGCAGGUUUUUAUGCGAACAUAAGUUUUCAGCUGAAGGAGCCCGAUUGCUGGAUCAUCGGGGAAGAAUAUAGUUAGCUUCUUUGAAGCACACACGUCACGUACACCCCGAUUCAGACACACAGCCUGAAAUCUAAAGCACACAACGCAAAUGGUCACAGGGGGUAAAGUGAUCUCUUCCGGAAGACUCUCCCCGGUAAGCGUAUCGCCCCCUUUACAAAAACGCCACAUAAGCUAAUUCCCGUCCUCCCUCUCCCUCUUAGACGUUUAAUUUCAAGUGCACGCUUGUAUGGAGCCCAUGUUACGCUUGCUGUUCUGUUCUAUUCAACUAGGUGUUGCUCGAAGGGAACAGAAAACAAUGACCACGGUACGGUGUCUACACCUUGGGAUCUUGAGGCUUCAAGCUCUUGUAUUAAGGGUGGCUGAGCCAGACGGCAAGGGGGCUGAAUCCCUCACGACGGGAUGGGACCACCAUUGCAGAGCAUGAGGUACUCAUUCCUGAUUAACGACCUCAGCAAGUGGGUAAUGAUUAUUCAUCGGCCUCUUUAGGAACUUUAAUCGUGUGGAGGACUUUCUAGACUUCAGAUGGACUACUCUAGAUAGAGGCAAAGAAACAGUAAUCAAGUAACAACCGUGUGAACUGGAGAAAACUAUUUAGCCUUUGAUGGCUUCAAACUCUUCUCAUCUGAAAACGGAAACAACCCCUCUCAAGGUUCUUGCGGAAGUGACUUGAGACGCCACGACAAGGCAUUUAAUACAAAGUAAGUGCUAGAUGAGUGACGUUACUUUUGUACACACGCAUUGUUUUUGAUUUCAAAAAAGGGGCCAACAUGUUCACUCUCUGCUCUUGACUGGCCUUGAAUAAAUGCAGGGAGAAAGGAAGUCCAGAGGUGAGAAUUAGGACCUGAUUUUAGAAAAGAUGUGAUGUCCAUGCUUUCCUGGGAGCUUAUAAAUGAGUAUUGUUGUGAGAGUAACUUCUCUGGGAUUCUUCUGAUUAAUCUGCCUUAUUAAUUCGUCUCCUUGUACCUUCGAAUUCUCUUAUUUUUAUAAUAUUGACGGCUCACUUGCCAAAAUACCUCAGAACCACUUUUAAGAGUUCCCAGUAGCUAAGAGAAAAUGCGUGCUUGAGGAUGCUCUUUCUGGGUUAUGAUUUUCUCAAGGCAGAGCGCCCAACAGGCCUUGCCUCCUGCCGUGCAUGAACAUUUCAUCC
Long non-coding RNA from Felis catus (domestic cat), 1736 nucleotides. RefSeq lists it as uncharacterized. Lineage: Eukaryota; Metazoa; Chordata; Mammalia; Carnivora; Felidae. The record is from RefSeq and is a predicted model, not a curated record. The transcript is spliced from 5 exons.